AGGAAUUAGAAGAUGCAGACACACCUGAUGAAAAAGUAAAAACUGCUGGAGAAGAGAAUUUGAAUCUCAGAAUAAAAGAGCUGGAAAAGUCAGAGCAAAAACUGAAAGGUGUUCUAGAGGACUACGUGGAGUCAGAUUCCAUCCUAAGAAAUAGGAUGAAAGAGCUGGAGCUGUCACAGAAAACACUUCUUGUGAAGAUUGAUCAACUUUAUGUGAAGCUGGACCAGGUUGAAAAUGCCAAUCUGCGUAUUAAAGGGAAACUGCAAAGCAUUCAGGAGGACCUGAUCCAUUUGGUUGAAAACCAAAAGAAGUCAGAGAAGAAGCACAAGGAAAAAUUGCAUUGGCUCCAGGAGCAGCUGAAGACAAAAGAGGAUGAAAUAAAAAGCCAGUCAGAAUAUUUUGAGCACUACAAACAAAGGCAGAGGCAACAGACAGCAGUACUGAGGAAAAGGGACUGUUACCUUCAGGGUGAGGUAUCCAGG
RNAcentral lists this long non-coding RNA (482 nucleotides) under Chloebia gouldiae (Gouldian finch). Its description in RNAcentral is "Erythrura gouldiae (Gouldian finch) lncRNA (ENSEGOG00005001471.1)". The record is from RNAcentral. Lineage: Eukaryota; Metazoa; Chordata; Aves; Passeriformes; Passeridae.